UCCCAGUAAAGAAUCAUCCAUGUGUCUUGCUUUCUUUUCAAGUCCUAGAGAUGAACUCACUGGAACUGACUAAGGCAAAAGACAAAACUUUGGUCCAGGAGGGAUUGUCUUAUAGAA
This is a small nucleolar RNA of 117 nucleotides. Its record names the gene SNORD22. It matches the Rfam family "Small nucleolar RNA SNORD22". From Rfam's summary of the family: U22 is a member of the C/D class of snoRNA which contain the C (UGAUGA) and D (CUGA) box motifs. U22 is encoded within the U22 snoRNA host gene (UHG) in mammals and has also been identified in Xenopus. The record is from Ensembl.